GACGAACGCUGGCGGCGUGCCUAAUACAUGCAAGUAGAACGCUGAAGGGAGGAGCUUGCUCUUCUUGGAUGAGUUGCGAACGGGUGAGUAACGCGUAGGUAACCUGCCUUGUAGCGGGGGAUAACUAUUGGAAACGAUAGCUAAUACCGCAUAACAAUGGAUGACCCAUGUCAUUUAUUUGAAAGGGGCAAAUGCUCCACUACAAGAUGGACCUGCGUUGUAUUAGCUAGUAGGUGAGGUAACGGCUCACCUAGGCGACGAUACAUAGCCGACCUGAGAGGGUGAUCGGCCACACUGGGACUGAGACACGGCCCAGACUCCUACGGGAGGCAGCAGUAGGGAAUCUUCGGCAAUGGGGGCAACCCUGACCGAGCAACGCCGCGUGAGUGAAGAAGGUUUUCGGAUCGUAAAGCUCUGUUGUAAGUCAAGAACGAGUGUGAGAGUGGAAAGUUCACACUGUGACGGUAGCUUACCAGAAAGGGACGGCUAACUACGUG
This 497-nucleotide ribosomal RNA is filed under the name uncultured bacterium. RNAcentral describes it as "partial 16S ribosomal RNA". It matches the Rfam family "Bacterial small subunit ribosomal RNA", at positions 28 to 507 of the family's 1533-position model. The record is from RNAcentral.